Molecule: microRNA, 21 nt
Filed under: Monodelphis domestica (gray short-tailed opossum)
Lineage: Eukaryota; Metazoa; Chordata; Mammalia; Didelphimorphia; Didelphidae
Description: mdo-miR-7371l-5p
Source: miRBase by way of RNAcentral
CGUUGUACUAGGUGCUCCAUU